This 480-nucleotide ribosomal RNA is filed under the name uncultured bacterium. Its description in RNAcentral is "bacterial SSU rRNA". It matches the Rfam family "Bacterial small subunit ribosomal RNA", at positions 30 to 507 of the family's 1533-position model. The record is from RNAcentral.
AUUGAACGCUGGCGGCAUGCCUUACACAUGCAAGUCGAACGGCAGCACGGGAGCAAUCCUGGUGGCGAGUGGCGAACGGGUGAGUAAUAUAUCGGAACGUGCCCAGUCGUGGGGGAUAACGUAGCGAAAGCUACGCUAAUACCGCAUACGAUCUAUGGAUGAAAGCGGGGAUCGCAAGACCUCGCGCGAUUGGAGCGGCCGAUAUCAGAUUAGGUAGUUGGUGAGGUAAAGGCUCACCAAGCCGACGAUCUGUAGCUGGUCUGAGAGGACGACCAGCCACACUGGGACUGAGACACGGCCCAGACUCCUACGGGAGGCAGCAGUGGGAAUUUGGACAAUGGGCGCAAGCCUGAUCCAGCAAUGCCGCGUGCAGGAUGAAGGCCUUCGGGUUGUAAACUGCUUUGUACGGAACGAAACGGUGAGCUCUAAUACAGUUUGCUAAUGACGGUACCGUAAGAAUAAGCACCGGCUAACUACGUG